Molecule: ribosomal RNA, 583 nt
Filed under: Staphylococcus sp.
Lineage: Bacteria; Bacillati; Bacillota; Bacilli; Caryophanales; Staphylococcaceae
Description: bacterial SSU rRNA
Rfam family: Bacterial small subunit ribosomal RNA
Source: RNAcentral
GCAGCAGUAGGGAUCUUCCGCAAUGGACGAAAGUCUGACGGAGCAACGCCGCGUGAGUGAUGAAGGUUUUCGGAUCGUAAAACUCUGUUAUUAGGGAAGAACAAAUGUGUAAGUAACUGUGCACAUCUUGACGGUACCUAAUCAGAAAGCCACGGCUAACUACGUGCCAGCAGCCGCGGUAAUACGUAGGUGGCAAGCGUUAUCCGGAAUUAUUGGGCGUAAAGCGCGCGUAGGCGGUUUCUUAAGUCUGAUGUGAAAGCCCACGGCUCAACCGUGGAGGGUCAUUGGAAACUGGGAAACUUGAGUACAGAAGAGGAAAGUGGAAUUCCAUGUGUAGCGGUGAAAUGCGCAGAGAUAUGGAGGAACACCAGUGGCGAAGGCGACUUUCUGGUCUGUAACUGACGCUGAUGUGCGAAAGCGUGGGGAUCAAACAGGAUUAGAUACCCUGGUAGUCCACGCCGUAAACGAUGAGUGCUAAGUGUUAGGGGGUUUCCGCCCCUUAGUGCUGCAGCUAACGCAUUAAGCACUCCGCCUGGGGAGUACGACCGCAAGGUUGAAACUCAAAGGAAUUGACGGGGCCUGU